RNAcentral lists this long non-coding RNA (701 nucleotides) under Parus major (Great Tit). RNAcentral describes it as "lncRNA (ENSPMJG00000000750.1)". Lineage: Eukaryota; Metazoa; Chordata; Aves; Passeriformes; Paridae. The record is from RNAcentral.
AUUGGCUACAAGCAUACAAAUGAAGCUGGAGAACAAAGUCACCUGAGCUCUCUUACAAGGGUGAGAUGCAAACACACAAGGCUCAGAAGUGGCCUCACUGUCUCCUUUUCUCUUUCUCUGUUGCCCCUAGGCAAAAGGAGGAAAAUCUUCCAGCAAUACCUGCAGCUCGGGGCCAGCCCAGGUUUUACAGCCUGGUGUGCCAGCAUGGAACAAAAGGUUUUCAAAGAAACCUUUUGUCACCCUUGGAAGAAGAGGAGGCUUUAUACUUCCCAGGAGUUUGCAAGAGAAAGCCAAACCCCCCAUCUCUUAGUGAGACUGGAGUUUCAGGAAUAAGUUCCCCUCAUUCACAGACCACUGGAGACUGCAGCAGGAAACAGUGAGGAGAUGGUAUCAAUCAGAGUUGAAGAAAACCUUCUACCCUACCGACGUUGCAAGUUGCUUUUUCCUCCUUACACAGAAGUGGAGGAACAGCACUGUGGGUAUCCCAGCUCUGUAUCCAGUAUUAUACAUUGUCCAAAAGCAAGCAGAUUCCUAAUGAGCUGUGUAAGACCAAAAAAAGAAUCCUGUGCCACUCCUACAGAACAUCCUUCCAGCGGUCUGUGUCCGAGGGCCUCCCUGAGGCAGAGAAGAUGGAACUAAUAACAGAAAACCAGUACAUUUUUUCUUCCCAUGGAUUUUCCCUGUCCCUUCUUGAACCCAGA